Crotalus tigris (Tiger rattlesnake) is the source of this 73-nucleotide small nucleolar RNA. The record is from RefSeq and is a predicted model, not a curated record. Lineage: Eukaryota; Metazoa; Chordata; Lepidosauria; Squamata; Viperidae.
CUAUGAUGAUAUAAAACCUUAAAUACGCUGGAAUUACCGGCAGACACUUGCUGUUGAGAUGGUCUUUCUGAGU